Molecule: unclassified non-coding RNA, 297 nt
Filed under: uncultured fungus
Lineage: Eukaryota; Fungi
Description: partial contains small subunit ribosomal RNA, internal transcribed spacer 1, and 5.8S ribosomal RNA
Rfam family: Eukaryotic small subunit ribosomal RNA (bases 1-73)
Source: RNAcentral
GCAAACUUGGUCAUUUAGAGGAAGUAAAAGUCGUAACAAGGUUUCCGUAGGUGAACCUGCGGAAGGAUCAUUAACAGGAAAGGGUGCCCAGCACCCUAACCCACCCGUGUCUAUCGUACUCUUGUUGCUUUGGCGGGCCCGCCUGACCUUAGGGGAUGGCCGCCGGCGCUUAGGUGCUGGCCAGCGCCCGCCAGAGGAGUUUUAGAACCUGUGUUAACUGUAUCGUCUGAGCGUUAUUAAAUCGUUAAAACUUUCAACAAAGGAUCUCUUGGUUCUGGCAUCGAUGAAGAACGCAGC